RNAcentral lists this ribosomal RNA (162 nucleotides) under uncultured bacterium. Its description in RNAcentral is "partial 16S ribosomal RNA". It matches the Rfam family "Bacterial small subunit ribosomal RNA", at positions 1339 to 1500 of the family's 1533-position model. The record is from RNAcentral.
UAAUCGCGGAUCAGAAUGCCGCGGUGAAUACGUUCCCGGGUCUUGUACACACCGCCCGUCACACCAUGGGAGUCGGAAAUGCCCGAAGUCGGUGACCGAACCGAAAGGAAGGAGCCGCCGAAGGCAGGUCUGGUGACUGGGGUGAAGUCGUAACAAGGUAAC